This 1149-nucleotide long non-coding RNA is filed under the name Marmota monax (woodchuck). The record is from RNAcentral. Lineage: Eukaryota; Metazoa; Chordata; Mammalia; Rodentia; Sciuridae.
UAAUGAUUCUCUAAGAAUCUACAAGGUAGCCACCCAUUUACCUUGUGUAAUACAGAUAACUAUCUUAUCAUAAUGUCACAUUCUAUCAUCAUCUUAGUCAUUAAGUCCUAUGGACUCUGCCUCCACAGAGUUUAAACUGACCUUCUUUAAUUCUACUUUACUAUCACUCAGUAUAUUUUUUUUCUUCUGUACUUGGGAUUGAGCCAAGGGCACUGUACCACUGAGCUAUAUCCUCAGCCCUUUGUAUUUUUAUUUUGAGAAAGGGUCUCAAUAAGUUGCCCAGGCUGGCCUCCCACUUGUGAUCCUCCUGCCCCAGCCUCCCAAGUUGCUGAAAUUGCAGGAUGUGCCCAUGCCUGGCUUACCAUUAUUUCUUGGCUGUCAUGUUGCAGUGGCCUCCUACUUUAUUUCUUUGCCUCUAAUCCUUUCUCUCUUAAUCUAUUCUAAUACAAUUAAUGAAGUUAAAUCAUAGCAAACAUCAUGGUAUCCUAGUGGGAUUACAGGCCAGCUGGGAUUACAGUCCUGUGCCACCACACCCUGCUUAACCAUAUUUUAAAGACUAUGAACCUUGUUUACCUAUUCUGCUUAUGCCCAAAUACCUCUUUGACUUUCAAACCCUUCAGUAAUAUGGCCCCAUCCCACUUUUCUAACCUUUACAUAUACCUUGUUAUUAACAUUUCAAUUUAUCCAUUCAACAGUGGAGCAUCUGCCAUGAGCCAGGCAUAAGUAGGGUUACAAAAGGAAGCAGGGUGAGUGUUCUCAUCAAGUGGAUAGCAUCAAGAAAUUAAUAAACCUAAAGAGUAGACAGUGGGGAAGAAGGAAAAACUAGGAGUAUAUGGUACUCUAGAAGGUACAUGAAUAAAGUGUUCCAAAUGCACUAAUCAAUCACAUCAAAGACUGCUUGAAGUCAGGUAAAAGGAAGGUUGCAAAAGAUCACUGAGACCAGUGAUAAUAUCUACAAGAAUGGUUUCUUUGGAGUGGUAGGAAUGAAAAGUUAACUGAACUGGGCUCAAGGGAGAAAAUGAGUUUAGGAGGUUGAAGUUUUUGCUAUACAAGGAAGCAUCAAAGUUGGGCCUGGUGGUGCAUGCCUAAAAUUCCAGCAGCUUGGGAGGCUGAAGUAGGAGUUCAAAGCCAGCCUCAGCAAUUUAAUGA